GCCACCAGCCUCAGUUGCCACCAGCCUCAACCUUCAAUUGCCGCCAGCUGACAGCAUCAGUUGCCAGCUGCCUCCACCCCCACCUUCAUCAACUUCCCUCUACCUCAGGUCUCGUUCCGACUGACCAGAACGCAGCCUCAGUCACCUUAACAGUUGCCAGGCGUAGUUGCCGUCCAUCCUCAGUUUCCAAUAACCUCAGCCUCAUCCUCCAGCUGCCAUUGGUCUCACCGUCAACAGUCCAGCGGUCACUGACUGAUUCCUCCUUCACGGUCAGCGACCACGCCAUCUGGUGUUGCCUCCUAAGAUGCAGUGUUGUGACAGCUACCUUCUCCAACAUCCGCCAAUUACACCACUUCAUGUGCAGGAAUUGACACGCUCUGAUACACUCUAUAUCCAUAUAUAUUAUCCAUACACUAUACAAAGCAUUUCAUCAAUCUUCUCAUAACCAGAGGGGCGGUCGGGUAGCCUAGUGGUUAAAGCGUUCGCUCGUCACGCUGAAGACCCUGGUUCGAUUCCCGACAUUGGUACAAUGUGUGAAGGCCAUUUCUGGUGUCCCCCGCCGUGAUAUUGCUGGAAUAUUGCUAAAAGCGGCGUAAAACCAUACUCACUCACUCACAUAACCAGGAUGAUCCAAAGAUGCCAACUUAACAUGUUGGAAUUAUCAGGAUCUGUUUUAUGGUAUAUCGAUAUCCAUAUAUCUUAUCCAUAAACUAUUCAGAGCAUUUCAUCAAUCUUGACAACUGGCAUGAUCCAAAGAUGCCAACUUAACAUGUUGGAAUUAUCAGGAUCUGUUUUGUAUGUUUAAAACUUGGUACAACAUCCUGCUUUUGACACGAUCGUCCUCUUACAAGUCCCUGAAGGUGUCCAUGUGUACCUCCUGAUGACUCGGCAGCUCUGAGGUGUUGAGGGGUGUUUCAUAUUUCAUGGCUCACAUUUCUACCUGAAACACCCGCUAACACCUUCUAGUUGAACGAUGACUCGGUUGUAUUCACAAACAUUUUCUAGGGUAAUUGUAUUUGGUCAACGUCUUCAGUCAGGGGAUUGUUGUGAAAGAUUUUAAUACAGGAAGUAUGUACUCGUAUUGAAAUGAGCGUGUCAUAUCUCACUGGUAUCUUCCGAGAACGUAUCAAAUUGCAUUUGGUUAGAACGUCACCUCAACAAAAUAUUUCGGUUGACAUUCAUGAUACAAUGUGUUUAAGGAGAAUAUUCCCAAUCAUGUGCGGUGUAAGGUAGGAUGUUGGAAGCAUCAGUCUACCACUGACGUCCAUGGGUGUUGAACAGAACUAAGUGAUAAGGCACCCUUGCCGCAGCUGUACACCGCCCCGCCUACCACACCCGUCUACCGCACCCGCCUACCACAUCCGUCUACCACACCCGUCUACCACACCCGUCUACUGCAACCGUCACCGCUCUUAUCUAUGGCAUUUCCCCCCAAUACCAAUGGACUAGUGUGGACCCAGCUUCUGUCCUCCACGAUGUAUGUAAACUCUAAAGGACUGGAGUGUCCCCAUAGCCAUGCUGCUCCAAUGUCUGUGCUUGUCACACUGAAGACCACAACACGACAAUCUGUAUAAUCAUAGUUACAAAGGAUGCUGACUACAUAUCAGAUAUGAGUUGAUACAGUUAACUAAGUCUUUCUUCAAUUCAAAUCCCUUCUCCUAGAUCAGUUAUAACUGUCUUUCAACGUCACCUAUUACCACUUACUCAAAAACCGUCAUAUGAAAUUUAUUUUGGUCUCUAUCAGUUGGAUGGAUAUAUACAGGUGUAGUUGAGCCAUGCUGCCCUGGAUAUAUACAUCUGAAUUCAAAUAAGUACAGAUCAAACGUGAAUGUGUUGACACUCGGGGAAUUCAAAAGUUUAGUGUUUAUAGUUUAGGAUACACACAGGUUGCCGCCGUGCUUCAAAUUCUGUCUGCAUGUGUCAUCUUAAUUUGGAAACUUUCUUUCGGCCUUUCAUGAGAAUGGAUAUAUACAGAUGUGGUUGAGCCAUGCUGCUCUGGAUGUAUUCAUUUGAUACCUUCUAAACAAGCAUAGAGUCUUCAGAGUAUGAGUGCAAACAGGAUUAUCAAACCAUAAUUAAACUGAACAAACAAGUCAAAAUAUCAAUCGAAAAGUUGAUCUGGGUCACAUUUGAUCUUGUCAUUGCAAUUUCCAGUGAUAUUAAUGACGAUAAAUAUUUCAUAUCUAUAGCCAAACAUUCAAUAAGUAUAAACGUUUUACCUUGAGGGGACAGCACGGCAUCGUGGUUGAAGUGUUUGUAGGGUUAGGUUUGAUUGUUAGCAUGUCACAGUGUCUGAUAUUCUGAUAUUCUUCAUAUACAGCUAAAAGCAGCCAAAAGCCACAAACCCAUGAUAAAGAUGUAUAUAUUUCUAUAUAUUUUUCGUACUCCUUUCACUGUCUCAUUGUAACGUCUUGUAAGAACACGUUGCUGUUUAAAUGUGUCAUUACGUGGUGAUUUCCCUCAUGCCAUUUGUAAAUUUGUUUUUAAUAAAGUUUUAAACUUAAGCUAUAUCAUGUUGACAAGUUGUCACCUGGUUACUAUUUGCUCCACG
Long non-coding RNA from Haliotis rufescens (red abalone), 2551 nucleotides. RefSeq lists it as uncharacterized. Lineage: Eukaryota; Metazoa; Mollusca; Gastropoda; Lepetellida; Haliotidae. The transcript is spliced from 5 exons. The record is from RefSeq and is a predicted model, not a curated record.